AUUCUGUCUGCUUAUAUCCCAUUACAUUUGCAGUUUAAAGAGAAAAGUGGCAUGUAGUAGGAAUCAGAGACAGACACAAUUGCAAGAACUGAGUUUGAGGAGGUUAAAUGAACAGUCCAAAUCCCUAAAGCUUUUAUAAUUGCUGAAAUGCUCUUGGAGUUACAUGAGUGUCCUCUCUUUCUUACUUAAAAAAAGUGUCAAUUUCAAAAUCAUGAAUUGCUUCGAUUGCUUGCUCAAUGUGGAAGUGAGAGAUUUGCAUGAGAAGCAUUAUCAGACUAGCACAGCAAUG
Molecule: non-coding RNA, 289 nt
Organism: Pelobates cultripes (western spadefoot toad)
Lineage: Eukaryota; Metazoa; Chordata; Amphibia; Anura; Pelobatidae
Source: the annotation of a GenBank genome assembly